Symphalangus syndactylus (siamang) is the source of this 5711-nucleotide long non-coding RNA. RefSeq lists it as uncharacterized. Lineage: Eukaryota; Metazoa; Chordata; Mammalia; Primates; Hylobatidae. The record is from RefSeq and is a predicted model, not a curated record.
UUUGGGCCCUGCUCGGUCUCCGAGUUUGAUCCGACACCGGCUCGGCCUCCGGGCGUCCCACCCUCAGGUGUGCGGCCUGGAGCACGGAGGGCUGGAGAAAGCCUUGGGAGCGACAGAGCCGGGGGAAGGUCGGCGGCCGGGUCGGCAGGCGGGAGGGCAGAGUGAGCGGACGGCGAAGGGGAGCACGGGUGACCCCGCAGAGCAGGGCCGGUGAUGGCGCGGGCCGGGCAGGACCACGAGAAGCAGAACGUGCGCGUGACGCGGGCGGGCUGGUGAUGUCACCAGGCACCCGGGGCGAUGACGCAAGCCUGCUGGGAUGACGUCAUUUGGCCCAUGUCGCCACGUGUUUCCAGGUGACCCGCUAGCAAACUCAGCAGCAGCAAAGUGGGGCUCACAGAAAAAUGAGGGGCCACUGUUAAUAUAACUGCAAAGGGGCAGGAUGCGUAAAACGGCUGUGGUUAUUUUCGUGUUUGCUGUUUUUAUUUCGAAUGCCGCUGCGGGGCACGCUGGUCCUUUCCGCACUCGGGGUCCCCGGCGGCCUCACGCGUCCGUGCAGCGGAGGCUUCCUGAGCCCCCUGGAGAGCCGGGCCUGGGCCCGGAUGUGGAGACCCUCCCGGGCUUUUAAUCCGGGCAGGAGGCAGAUGGCAGGCUCAGCAGUCACGCCGUUGUAAGAGAACCGAAUUAGAGACGCGGAUCUCCCUAUGUUGCCCAGCCUGGUCUUGAACUCCUGGCCUGAGAUGAUGCUCCUGCCUCGGCCUCCCAACGUGCUGGGACUACAGGCGUGAACCUCCUCCCUGCCAAGCAUGGCUGGGGCUGAUCUUUCCCUCACUGGUUGUUAGAUGGGCUCACUUCCCUUCCUUGUACCUGUUUCCUCAUCUGUAAAAGGGAGCUAACUUUUUUUUUUUUUUUUUGAGGCUGAGUCUCGCUCUGUUGCCCAGGCUGGAGUGCAGUGGCACCACAACCUUUGCCUCCCGGGUUCAAGCGAUUCUCCUGCCUCAGCCUUCCAAGUAGCUGGGAUUACAGGCGUGCACCACCAUGCCUCGCUAGUUUUUUGUAUUUUUAGUAGAGACGGGGUUUCACUAUGUUGGCCAGGCUGGUCUUAAUAGGAGACUCUACUUUUUUUUUUUUUUUUUUUUGAGACGGAGUUUCACUCUUGUCGCUCAGGCUGGAGUGCAGUGGCACGAUCUCGGCUCACCACAACCUCUGCCUCCUGGAUUCAAGCGAUUCUCCUGCCUCAGCCUCUGGAGUAGCUGGGAUUACAGGCAUGUGCCGCCACACUUGGCCAAUUUUUGUAUUUUUAGUAGAGAUGUGGUUUCUCCAUGUUGGUCAGGCUGGUCUCAAACUCCCCAUCUCAGGUGAUCCACGCGCCUCAGCCUCCCAAAGUGCUGGGAUUACAGGUGUGAGCCACUGUGCCUGGCCAGGAGAUUCUACUUUUAAAGCCACUGAUGGUGUCCAGCUCAUAGUGAGCACCCAUGCCCAUCUGCCAGGGUUCCUGCCCCGGGCAGCAGGUGGGGUCCUCGCUGAGCAGAGGCAGGAGGGGACACCAGCACUUGCCUCUGCUCUCUUGGAGAGGAAGAGACCCCCCCACCCCCCAUCCCCCACCAGGGAGCCUACUCCAGGGUCUCCGGGCCUGUGUUCCUCCCACUGUCUUUGCCACAGGACAGCUCCCGUCUGUGUGUCUGUCUCUCUGGGUCUGUGCCCUUGGCCUCUGACGGUCCCCUCCCUACCUCUCGAAUCUGGCCUUGAUUUGUGGUAGGGGCCUCAGGGUUCCUGAGGGCCUUGGGGUUCCCUUGCUCCGAGUGUGGGGGUGGAUCCUGGGCUGCAGCCCGGGAUGGUGCUGACGCCCGGGUUGGGGGCAGGUUGCGUUUUUCAGAGAUGGCCGUGGCAGUAUCUCCCAUCCCUAUACCUUGAAAUGCCUUCUACAUGAGACUCUGUGACAGCCUCGGCCAGGAAGAAUGGGGUGUUUGGCAGGACGUGACUUCUGAGGCUGACUUGGAAGCCAUGCGUAUCUCGCUGUCCUGGGACAGUCGCUCUUGGAACCAGCUGCCGUGCUGGGAGGGAGCACGCCCGGGCCUCAAGGAGAGACCCCGUGGAGGAACCGGCAUCGGAUUCCAGACUCCUGAGCAGCUUCCGGCCCAGGUCCCAGCGCCCCGUUCCAAGCCGCCCGCACACAGUAGGGUGCUUGCUGAGCGUACUGUUUUGGGGUGGUUUGUGGUGCGGCACUCAAAACUGGAAUAGUGGAGGUGGGCUGGGCCCUGACCCAGGGAGAGUGACCCUUCCCUCCUCACCCCUGCUCACUCCUCACUGGUCCCUUCCUUUCUCCCACAGAGGCAGAGGCUCAGCGACUUCCCCACCCCUCCUCCCCAUCUAACGGGUGCUUCUCCGGAGCCACUGAAAUCCAGCCGACCUCCUGGCCCUGAGUGGGUCAAGCUCCAAACGGCGGGGGGCCCCGGGGCAUCUGCAUGGCCCUGUGUUAGCUAAGAGGGGUGACUGAUGAGGACAUUCACACGCCACUGGGGAGCCUGUGGGGAAAACCGGGGUGUCUUCUAGGCUGGACCUGGAGGGCCUCAUUCUUGUGGGGGGGUCUCCUCACAUUGGGCCACUGUGGCCGCACUCCAUGACCCCAGCCAGUGUCCCCAAAAGGCCUGCGAGGUGCUGGCCAUGACCUCCCCUCCCAAUCUCUGACCCAGAGGUGGCGGCUGCCAUCUCACCAUGGGCCUCAGCACCCCCCUCACACACCGACUCCUGAAAUCAGAGACCUGUAGCCACCCCUGCAGGCGGUCCUCAGUGUGGUCCCCAACUCCUGCCCAGGGCAGCGGGCUGUGCACUCAGGGAGCUCAGGCCAAAGCCACCGAGGAACCAAGGCUGGGGCUGGCGUGGGUUUCUCUCCCGGAGAGCUGAGGUGGGCGCAGAGCUGUUCCUGGGUGUUUGCUGGGAUUGUAGUGAUAGAAGGCCAGGGCUGCAGGAAUCCAGGCUGCAGGAGAGAGACCAGGACUCAGGCAGAAGCAGCAGCACCAGGCUGGUGCCACUGCCACCCCACCUGCAUGCCUUCUCAGCAGCGGUGGGAGCUGUGUCUCCAAGCAGGAUGGUGCUGGAGUCUCCCCAUCCUGCCUGUCUGGGAUGCCCUCCCAGCCCGUUCCUGCUCCCGGCAGGCACUGCUUUUCUCUCUGCUGCACCAGGACGAGGUUGGUGCCCUUGUCCCUCCUCACCGGCACUCCCACCCUUUUCCACCAAAACCACCCCCACUUUGUGACCAGACCUCACUGUGUUGAAGUCAUAGGCACCCCUUUCCUGCAGGAGGGGACACCUGCUCCCUGUCACUCUCCCGGCCAUGCCUUCAAAAUCCACACCGGCAAUUCUCCAACUUUGACUUCCUCUCCUUCAGGGGUCCUGUUCCCUCCCCACUUAACCACUGGGUCCUUUCUCCCAACUGCACCCCUCCACGGUCCAGCCUUUCCACUCUCUCUGCCCACCUCCCAGCUCCCGGCUCUGCUGUCCGCCAGCCCUGAGAUCUACAGUCUUUGUGCACGGCCUGCAUCUGCGGCUUCCUCAUCCCGUCUGUUCUCCUCUUCUUAUCAAGAGAAGCCUAUCUGGCCGGCCAUUGUGUCUGCCCCUCACCCUCCCUUCCUCCUGUUCAUGUGGGCAGACCACAGCCCGUGUGGAAUCCCGACCUUCUUGGUGGCUUAAGCACCACCUGCCUAUUCUUUCCGUAGCAGGGAUCAGGGUGGUGCCAGCGGCUUCCUGGGGCCUCACACAGCCCACAGCCCUGGGCCAAGGUCAGCUGGGUGGGAAGGGCCCAAGUGGAGCCAUGCUGGACACCCGGGGCUGCUGUCCCUCGGCUGCCGAGCUCUCUGUCAGAGCCUUGCGGCCUGGAAUCCUACCCACCCUCGGUCAGCUUCCUCAUAACAUGGCCAGCGUUCCAGGAGGGCGAAGUGGAAGCCUAGGGACUCUUGAGGCCAGGGUCCAGAACGCACAUGGUAAAAUCUCCACCACUUUCCAUUGGCCAAAGCAAGUCACAGCAGCCAGAUUCCAGAGGAGUCGAAGAACACACUGACCCCUCCUCCCCUCCACCGCCUGCCUCUGCCCUCCCCUCGCAGGGGCAGGGCUGCCUGAUGAGCCCCCUGGGUUUAUCUGCCCUGCUGGCUCUGGGAAGGCCGGGAUGAAAGUGUCAUUUAGUGGCAGGGACUUUAGGGAGCCUGGUAUGGCCAAGCCCUAGCCCCCUGCAGCAGUGCCCCCCGCAGCAGUGCCCCCAGGACAGCUGGGCCUGGGUCUCCAGUGGGUUGGAGUUUUCUGAAGGCGGCUGUGGGUCGACCUGGCACCCGGUGACUGCCCCAGGCGGAGGGCCAUGCAUGGCCCAGCGCGGGGGCCCUGCCCAUGGCCGUGUUGGGUCAGGUGUCCGGCUCCGGGCUUCUGGGCUCCCUGCUACCCAAAGAUGUGCAGCUCCUGAGUCCCUUGCCAGGUCCUUUAAGUCUAAGAGGGUCCCUCUUGUCCAGUGCGCCAGGCUCCACCUACCCCCGACCCCUCCCCAGCUGAGUGCCUCCUCCUGGCUGGAACAGCAGCCCUCCCUGGUCAUGCACCUGCCCCUCCACUGUGUCCUCCCUGACGCAGCCAGAGGCGUGCUUCUAACCUGCAGAACCCUCCCUGGGGGCCAAGCCCACCAGACGCCAGGUGGCUCUGAGUGGCCCACUGGGACUGCCAUGUGGAGUGGGACCCUCUGCUCUGUCCCAGGUCCUGCUGUCCCAGGAAGCCCUUACAGGGGGCUGUAGCUGGGAGGUGACAUGCCUGCCAAGUGGGUGGGGAGGCUCUGGCCCAGUAAGAUGGGAUCCAGCAGUGCGAGAUGGUGGCCCAGGUCAGGUGGUGGCAGCUCGGCCUUCUUGGUCCCAGGUGGAGAGACAGGGUGAGGCUCCUCCCCAUGGGAUCUGGAGGGGAGGGGCUGCCUGUGUAAUCAGCCCAGCCUCGGACGUCAACAAUCCAUGUUUCUCGGGAAAGGCGGCCAGCCCGGGCCUCGGACGUCAACAGUCCCCGUUUCUCAGGACAGGCGGCCAGCCCGGGCCUCGGACGUCGACAGUCCCGGUUUCUCGGGAAAGGCGGCCAGCCCAGAGUCUCCAGUGACACAUUUCUGGGUCAUCAUCCACUGGCCACAGGGAAUCACAGGCUCAGUGUGACUUUCUCAGAGCGCCGUGGUGCACCUGUGGGGUUUCCCAGCCCAUCCUGUCCUGUGGGACCAGGCGGAGGCCCAACCGUGUCUUCAGAGUGACCUUCGAGCUCUAACCAAAGUCCACGUGUUAUCAGGAGCCAUGAGUCAAUCAGAUGUCAUCCAGGGCGGCGGCUGAGGAGUGGUGACUGGCCAGAUGGGAAGGCAGGGAAGGGUCUGGAUUUCAAUGAGAGCGAAGGAGUGGGCAGCAGACUGGUAGACUCCUCCAGAUGGAUGAGGCCAGACCCCUGCAACAGCCGAUCUGAGCAAGGCUCUAGCCUCCCUGGGAGUCGAGGGCAACAAAUCAGCCCUGCACCUGGCCCAGGCCUCAGACCCUGACGGGGCUCAGCCACCUGAGAUCACCCUGGCUCUGCAGGAAGGCAGGAAGCUUUGGCGUGAUCCUCCACGGGUGAGGAUUACGUAGAGAUGUGUGGAAACGCCACGAAGCACAAAGACUCGUGUCUGACGGGUUGCCAGGUGCCUACAUCAGAGCUCAUUAAAUUACACAUUAAAUAGA